UGGCUCAAUCGGUAGAGCGUCCGACUGCCAGUCAGACGGUCGCUGGUUCGAGUCCGGU
Transfer RNA from Ancylostoma ceylanicum, 58 nucleotides. It matches the Rfam family "tRNA", at positions 8 to 63 of the family's 71-position model. From Rfam's summary of the family: Transfer RNA (tRNA) molecules are approximately 80 nucleotides in length. Their secondary structure includes four short double-helical elements and three loops (D, anti-codon, and T loops). Lineage: Eukaryota; Metazoa; Nematoda; Chromadorea; Rhabditida; Ancylostomatidae. The record is from Rfam.